AGCAGCCGCCGCGGGAAUACGGAGGAUCCAAGCGUUAUCCGGAAUCAUUGGGUUUAAAGGGUCCGUAGGCGGUCUUGUAAGUCAGUGGUGAAAGCCCAUCGCUCAACGGUGGAACGGCUAUUGAUACUGCAGGACUUGAAUUAUUGGGAAGUAACUAGAAUAUGUAGUGUAGCGGUGAAAUGCUUAGAGAUUACAUGGAAUACCAAUUGCGAAGGCAGGUUACUACCAAUUGAUUGACGCUGAUGGACGAAAGCGUGGGUAGCGAACAGGAUUAGAUACCCCGGUAGUCCCUGUCUCUUAUAC
This 303-nucleotide ribosomal RNA is filed under the name uncultured bacterium. RNAcentral describes it as "partial 16S ribosomal RNA". It matches the Rfam family "Bacterial small subunit ribosomal RNA", at positions 507 to 807 of the family's 1533-position model. The record is from RNAcentral.